Molecule: long non-coding RNA, 237 nt
Filed under: Elaeis guineensis (African oil palm)
Lineage: Eukaryota; Viridiplantae; Streptophyta; Magnoliopsida; Arecales; Arecaceae
Description: long non-coding RNA (EGUI_LNC034302)
Source: RNAcentral
GGAUACCGACUAUGGGAUCCCUUAGAGAAGAAGGUCAUUAUCAGUAGAGAUGUCACCUUCGAUGAAAAUUCAGUUCUUCAAAGGCGAGAUGGCAUGGAGGAGCAGCAAGAGCAGCAGGAGGUCCAGCAGGGCAGCACUGGACAACUUACAUCCUAUUCUCUUUUACCUUUUGUAGGUACAUCAGGAGAACUUGGUAUUCAGGUGGAGCACUUUUCAUAUGUGUCUCCACAGGUGGAG